GAAUGGCUAAAUAUUUUUCCCUCAUCCCAAGUGUCCUCUCCGCCUUCAUUCCCACUUUUGCCUCUUGUGGUCUUAUUUUCUCCCAACUCUAGUAGUUUCUUCGUCUUCAAACAAGGUGUGGAGCUGUUUCUUCGUGUUCAAACAAGGCGGGAAGCUCUUGGGCUUUAUUCCACUUUGGCAAUUAAACUUGCAAAGAAAUCUGUCGAGAAGAGAAACAAGGAUGCCCGUCGUGGAGAAGUUGAUAGAGUUAUACCUAAUCUGCGGCGCGACGACCUCUGUCCGUGGGUGUGGUGGUAGGGGCACUUUUUUCGUGACAACAGUGUUUCAGCGUCUUCACGGCGAGUCUCCGGUGACUCAGGCGCGAUGUUUUUAAGACACGAGGAUCUCGUUCUCCAGCAUUUUAGCAAUAGUAGAAACUUGGAUGGAAUUCGCGAUUGAUUUAGGGUUUGAAUUCGGAUUUUGUUUUUAGGGAUUUGAAUGGGGUUUUCUUUCGAUGUCUCAUGAUUUUGGGUAAGGCUGUGGAGGAGAAGAAAUUCUAGGUAUGAAAGCUAUUUUAGUAGGAUUGAUUGCUUGUAUGUGGUACGAUAUGCUUUUCCCCUAUUUUAAUGUUCAUUCCGGGAUAAUUGUAUGUUUGGGGAAUUGAAAAUAGAAUACUCUUCUAAUCCUUGUAGCUGAGGUCUCUCUGCAUUUCUUUGAUAUUCCUUAGGUACAUAUUGCAGUCAAGAUGUUGCUAUCAAAGUUAUGAAUAUGGAUUCGAGUAUGGUGGAAGAACGGAGGGGAGUGAAUAUGGAUUUAGGUAUGUUAGAAGGAAGAGUAGUGGGCAUGGGUAAGAACAACGGCAGGACAGUGGGUAUGGUUUUGGAGGGAGGAGUGAGUAUGAUGAGAAACCUAGCUAUAUAUGUUCGGAAAAUGUUUGUUUAACACCACAUUUGACACAAAUUUGACACCGUCCAGGUGUCAAAUUUCUAUUGGGUUAUUUAUUUUAAAUUGAAAAAGCUUUUGUAAUAAACUGACGGGAUAGAAGUGGUAUAAUAAAAUAUUGAAUAUGAUUUUGGAUUUGGCGGUUUCGUUUUCGUCUUUCACUUUUACUGUGAACAGUUUCGUUUUCUCUCCAACAGGUUCCUUCGUCUUUCGUUUGCCACCAUCUCAUUGCUGCGUCACUUUGGUUUUAUCUCAAGCAGGGGAAGGCGAUCAUUGAGAAGUUGGAAUGGCUUCCGAAAUCCCAAAGUGGAGGGUUCGUACUUCUUUGGAUUCAUCUUAUAUUAUUGGACAGCAUAGAAGCAAGACUUGGCAAUAUUGAGAACCGACUUCCACAAGUUGGAAACAUUCAGAACCCAUUUUAUCAUUUCACUUCCUAGUUUGAAUUUUGUCUUUAUAUGUAUUUUCUUCCAUUUGGAACUUCAAGCUGAAUAUUGUAAUGUUUUCAUUACUUAAUUUCAAUAUCGCAAUUUCGAAGUUUA
Vigna radiata var. radiata (mung bean) is the source of this 1460-nucleotide long non-coding RNA. RefSeq lists it as uncharacterized. The record is from RefSeq and is a predicted model, not a curated record. Lineage: Eukaryota; Viridiplantae; Streptophyta; Magnoliopsida; Fabales; Fabaceae. The transcript has 3 exons.